RNAcentral lists this long non-coding RNA (760 nucleotides) under Brachypodium distachyon (stiff brome). RNAcentral describes it as "long non-coding RNA (BDIS_LNC001060)". Lineage: Eukaryota; Viridiplantae; Streptophyta; Magnoliopsida; Poales; Poaceae. The record is from RNAcentral.
CUAUGUGGGUUGUUUGAUUUGAUGGAUUGAAUCCUAUAGGAAAAUUUCCUAAGGAUUCAUUUGCACUGUGGUUUAGACUGUCCCAUUUUUUAGACGUAAGAAAAUCUCAGAAACAAGUAAAACAAACGUGAUUAUGAGAAUCCACCUGAAACCCAGCCUGGGUAGCCUAUCCAAAGGAGAAGAGCAAAAUGUUUCCUAGUCAACGCUACACCUGGGUUAAAUAGUAAACUGAAAGAUAAUUUCACCACUUUAGAAAAAAAUCCCAAAAAUAUAAAGUUGUACAUGUUUAAGUAUUCAUAGUUGCACCUGGGUUGAGUAAAAAACUUGUAAAUCUUCUUGAAAAAAAGAACAAUUCAUAUUAUGGAGAAAAAAUUCAUUGUAAAAAACGAGAGCAAACUGUAAGCACUUAUUGAGCAGUAAACUGAAAGAUAAUUUCACCAUUUUAGAAAAUCCCAAAAUAUCAGAGUCGAGUCAAUCAACCAGUAGAAACAAAACGAAAUCCGGAGAAUAAAGCAGUCCAUGUUUAAGUAGUUAUAAUGCAACUGAGUUGAAUAAUGAAGUUAUAAAUCUUCUGAAAAAGAACAAUCCAUAAUAUGGAGAAAAAAACAAAUUUCAUUGUAAAAAAGGAGAGCAAACUGUGAGCACUAAAAUUAUUUUGAGAACUCGUACAUGUACAUGGGCAAAUAAAUUUAUCAGAAUUAUCUCAACACAAGAAAAAUCCAUGCAUGCCUUUUGUAGCUCCGGCUGUAGAACCUCAGAA